UAGAUAUGCUGAUAUUGAUGUUGGAUUUCAUUAUGUGCCGACUGAAUUUGAGUGGAGUCAAGUGGAAGAUGUUUGCCAGUUUUUAGGAGUUUUUCAUGAGAUUACAAAUAUGAUUUAUGGAUCUGAAUAUCCAACGGCUAAUAUUUUCCUCCCUAAAUUGUAUCGGAUUAAAGAGCUUCUUAAUGAGAAAUGCACGCAUCAUUCUUCUCAUAUGAGGUCUAUGGAUUAAGAAUGGAAGAGAAAUUUGACAAGUAUUGGGGAGAAAUAAAUGUGUUGAUAUCUUUGUGUGCUAUUUUAGAUCCAAGAUAGAAAAUGGAGCUUAUUGAUUUUGCUUUUCCAACAAUUUAUGGUGAGGAUGAAACUUCAAUUUACGUGGGUGAGAUCAAGAAGAUUUUGUAUGAUCUUUAUGAUGAGUAUGUCACGAGUUACACUCUGAAGAGAGGCCUCCGAUUGUAUCGAAACGUAAACAUUCUGAAAUUGGAGGGUCUUCAACUUCUAACUUGGGAUCUAGUGGGGUUGGAAGUGAAGUUUUAAUCGGAAAAGCAAAGUUUCAUAUGCACGUGAGUAAGUCUAAUAAAGCCCCGCCACAAAAAUCUGAUUUGGAUGUUUAUUUGAGUGAAAGUAUAUAUGAUUGUGAUGCCAAUGCAAACCUGGAUGUUUUAGGUUGGUGGAAAAGAGAAAGAUUGAGGUUUCAAGUAUUGGCAAGGAUGGCAAGUGAUAUAUUAUAUAUUCUUCUAACCACAGUGGUCUCUGAGUCUACGUUUAGCGCCGGUGGUAGAGUUAUUGAUGAUCGUCGGGUUUCUAUGUCAGUUGAUACGGUGCAAAUGUUACUUUGUGGCAAUGAUUGAUUAGAAAUUUGCAUGGUCUUAAGAAAUACUCCUUAAAAAAGAGUUGGAUGCUAAAGAGUUUUCUAACUACAAAGAAAUUGAUCUUCCAGAUUAUCAAAGCUAAAGGCGUAAUUUCUUGAUGAAUUGGCGGUUUGGUAGCUUAUUCUUGAUUUUCAGCGUGAAAAUAUACGAUCAUUUGAUGCAUCCAUGGUUUGAUAGCGUAUCAUGAUGUUAUGUUUGGAAAGAUUGUAUUUCCAUUUAAGUUUGUUUUGGAUUGUGUUGGGUUAAGUUUAUGUUGGAUUGUGUUGGAUUAAGUUUGUGUUGGAUUAAGUUUA
This is a long non-coding RNA of Andrographis paniculata, 1162 nucleotides long. RefSeq lists it as uncharacterized. The record is from RefSeq and is a predicted model, not a curated record. The transcript has 4 exons. Lineage: Eukaryota; Viridiplantae; Streptophyta; Magnoliopsida; Lamiales; Acanthaceae.